RNAcentral lists this ribosomal RNA (247 nucleotides) under uncultured bacterium. RNAcentral describes it as "partial 16S ribosomal RNA". It matches the Rfam family "Bacterial small subunit ribosomal RNA", at positions 523 to 769 of the family's 1533-position model. The record is from RNAcentral.
AUACGUAGGGAGCAAGCGUUGUCCGGAAUUACUGGGCGUAAAGGGUGCGUAGGCGGUUUGAUAAGUCAGAUGUGAAAUACCCGAGCUCAACUCGGGGGCUGCAUUUGAAACUGUCAAACUUGAGUGCAGGAGAGGAAAGCGGAAUUCCUAGUGUAGCGGUGAAAUGCGUAGAUAUUAGGAGGAACACCGGUGGCGAAGGCGGCUACCUGGACCGAUACUGACGCUGAGACGCGAAAGCGUGGGGAGC